CAUGCAGCCGAGCGGUAGAGAUCUUUCGGGAUCUUGAGAGCGGCGUACGGGUGCGGAACACGUGUGCAACCUGCCUUUAUCUGGGGGAUAGCCUUUCGAAAGGAAGAUUAAUACCCCAUAAUAUGUUGGAUGGCAUCAUUCGACAUUGAAAACUCCGGUGGAUAGAGAUGGGCACGCGCAAGAUUAGAUAGUUGGUGAGGUAACGGCUCACCAAGUCUGCGAUCUUUAGGGGGCCUGAGAGGGUGAUCCCCCACACUGGUACUGAGACACGGACCAGACUCCUACGGGAGGCAGCAGUGAGGAAUAUUGGACAAUGGGUGAGAGCCUGAUCCAGCCAUCCCGCGUGAAGGACGACGGCCCUAUGGGUUGUAAACUUCUUUUGUAUAGGGAUAAACCUACUCUCGUGAGAGUAGCUGAAGGUACUAUACGAAUAAGCACCGGCUAACUCCGUGCCAGCAGCCGCGGUAAUACGGAGGGUGCAAGCGUUAUCCGGAUUUAUUGGGUUUAAAGGGUCCGUAGGCGGAUCUGUAAGUCAGUGGUGAAAUCUCACAGCUUAACUGUGAAACUGCCAUUGAUACUGCAGGUCUUGAGUGUUGUUGAAGUAGCUGGAAUAAGUAGUGUAGCGGUGAAAUGCAUAGAUAUUACUUAGAACACCAAUUGCGAAGGCAGGUUACUAAGCAACAACUGACGCUGAUGGACGAAAGCGUGGGGAGCGAACAGGAUUAGAUACCCUGGUAGUCCACGCCGUAAACGAUGCUAACUCGUUUUUGGGCUUUCGGGUUCAGAGACUAAGCGAAAGUGAUAAGUUAGCCACCUGGGGAGUACGAACGCAAGUUUGAAACUCAAAGGAAUUGACGGGGGCCCGCACAAGCGGUGGAUUAUGUGGUUUAAUUCGAUGAUACGCGAGGAACCUUACCAAGGCUUAAAUGGGAAAUGACAGGUUUAGAAAUAGACUUUUCUUCGGACAUUUUUCAAGGUGCUGCAUGGUUGUCGUCAGCUCGUGCCGUGAGGUGUUAGGUUAAGUCCUGCAACGAGCGCAACCCCUGUCACUAGUUGCCAUCAUUAAGUUGGGGACUCUAGUGAGACUGCCUACGCAAGUAGAGAGGAAGGUGGGGAUGACGUCAAAUCAUCACGGCCCUUACGCCUUGGGCCACACACGUAAUACAAUGGCCGGUACAGAGGGCAGCUACACAGCGAUGUGAUGCAAAUCUCGAAAGCCGGUCUCAGUUCGGAUUGGAGUCUGCAACUCGACUCUAUGAAGCUGAAUCGCUAGUAUCGCG
RNAcentral lists this ribosomal RNA (1280 nucleotides) under Chryseobacterium indologenes. Its description in RNAcentral is "bacterial SSU rRNA". It matches the Rfam family "Bacterial small subunit ribosomal RNA", at positions 54 to 1346 of the family's 1533-position model. Lineage: Bacteria; Pseudomonadati; Bacteroidota; Flavobacteriia; Flavobacteriales; Weeksellaceae. The record is from RNAcentral.